RNAcentral lists this long non-coding RNA (1951 nucleotides) under Citrus x clementina. Its description in RNAcentral is "Citrus clementina (C. clementina) long non-coding RNA (CCLE_LNC006603)". The record is from RNAcentral. Lineage: Eukaryota; Viridiplantae; Streptophyta; Magnoliopsida; Sapindales; Rutaceae.
UGGGGUUAAUUUAAUAAUAUAAAAAAUUAUUAAAAUGUAAGUGUUCAAAGUAAAAUUUUAUAGUUCACAUAAUCCUAUCCUCGAAUGUUUACUCCCUAAAUUUCUAUAUAUGAGUGCUCUACUGUAUCAAGAAAAGUCCAACUAAAUUUAAUAAUUUACACAAUCAGUCAAUUAUAUUUACUUUUUUUUAAAAAAAAAAUGUUUAGGUCCCCGAAUAUUCUUUACAUUAAAGUCGAAUAAACAAAAGAUUAAAUUUAUUACUUUACUCUUUGAAAAAUAAAGUCCUAAAAUACCAAAAACAUUAGUUUAACUUUUACAAAAAUUUUAAUGUUAUAUCAAAUUCAACAUUUAUUUAGUACUACUUUAUUAAUAUGGUAAUCAAUUUUCAAUCAAAUUAUAAUAAUGUACUUGUAAUAAUGAUAUCUCAUUCUAUAUAAAUUUAUUGAAUUUCAUUCGUAAAUGUUUGAUUGCAUAGAUCUUAAAUUAAGUACCUAAAUUAGAUAAAAUUUCUUUUUACCGUGCAAGUUAUGACAUUCUUCAAUUUGCCUUACCAUAAAUGAAAACAUCAACAGCGUGCACCGUAAAAUUUGACCGACUCUGAGCUUUUAGUGGUUAAAGAGGGAAAAUAGAUUUUUUACUUCAACAUUAUCAAUAUUAAAUUGCAAAAAAAAAAAAUCAAGACAAAUGAAAUAAAUUAAAAUUUAAUAGAAAUGCAAUAUUAAUAAAAGGCGAAGAAAAACAAUAAAGAAUAGAAAACAAUCAUCCCCAAUUUUUUCAUCUCAUCUAAAAUGAAUAAUAGAAGCACAAUCUACUAGAAGAUUAUGUGGUGAAAAAACUGUGAUCAUAGUAAUGUGUUUCACACGCGAGCGCGCGCGCACACACACACACACACACGUACGUGUGUGUGUAUAGUACACAUCAAUAUAUCUAUUACAAUCAAAAGUCAUCUAUUGGGAAUAUUUUAGAUUAAAUCUAUUGUAGCACAACCCCAAUUUCUACCCUCACAUGGCUAGAGAGAGUUUUCUUGGACUAGCUCAUAAGUUAUAGCUCUCCUAACUAACUAAAUGUAUUUUAAAUAGCAAAGCUCAACGACAAAACUAAGAUUAAAAUUCUCUCAUGAUUUGAUCUCCUCCUGAGCAAAAAUAUAUAUGAACGAUUGGUAAUUAAUAAAUAAAUAAAAUAAAGAAGUUAAAUCCUACUUAUACAAUAACACUUAAAGACAUAUGACAUAAGAUUUUAAAACCUCAUGAGAGCUCAAAUCAGAAGAUGAUCUUUAUCCACAAAACUAUGACGGCUUGUGUGCCUAAAGCAGUUUGUGGGCCUGGCCUCUUAAAUAAUAGGUUUAAUGCCAUAAAAAUAGUGGAGCUUUUAACACCCCGCCGAAAUCCUUAUAACACUCCAUUUAAAUUUUACUGCUUAAAAUGUCCCAAAUUAAUUUAUAAAAUACUAACCCAUAAAUUAAAACCAAUCAUCGUAUCAUUAAUGGCAUGUUUGCUUACCAACAAUCAAAAUGAAAAUUCUAGAAUCGAAAUUAAUGACGUAUAUAUUUGUAAAAUUAAGGUUUAGAAUCAAAAUCAAAAUAGUGUCGAGCCUAUAAAUUUAGGAAUCAUUCCUUUAGUUUUGAUUUUCAAGGAGAAGUGGGGUUAGGAGUUACAAUUUUAUUCCCAGGACUACCUAUCUUACACCUAAAUUUUCAUAAUCUCCAAAUUGCCUUCAAUUCACUUAUGUUUUUGUUUACAUUUUUGUCCUUACAGAAUUUAUUAAAAUGCCCCAAAGUUUCGUAUUAUUUGCAAAUAGGUCCUUUAUUAUUAAUAAUAAUAACGAUAACAACAACAACAACAACAACAAUAACAACAAUAACAACAAUAACGAUAAUAGGUCCUUUACCAUCACCACCACUACCAUCAUCAUUAUUUAUUAAUGUCAUUAUUAUCAUAUUACUAUUAUUGUU